GUCAAUCUGCCCAAUGAGUAUUUGAAUGGCUGCAGUAUAUCUGACUGUACAAAGGUAGCAUAAUCAAUUGGUUUUUAAAUGAAAUCUAGAAUGAAAGGAUUAAUGAAAUAUAUACUGUCUCAUAUUUAUUUAAUGAAUUUAAAAUUUUAAUAAAAAUGUUAAAAUUUUUUUAUGGGACGAUAAGACCCUAUAGAAUUUUAUAUUAAAUUUAAUUUUAUAUAAUAAUUAUAAAAUUUAAUUUAAUAUUUAGUUGGGAGAAUUAUUAAAUUUAAUAAAUUUUAAUUAAUGUAAACUUAGAUUAAAGAAAAUUUUUUGAUUUUUAAUUUAAAAUUAUUAGAUUAAAUUACCUUAGGGAUAACAGCGUAAUAUUUUUUUAUAGAUCUUAUAGAAAAAAAUGAUUGCGACCUCGAUGUUGAAUUAAGAUAAAUUUUAAACGUAGAAGUUUAAUAAUUAAGUCUG
Molecule: ribosomal RNA, 459 nt
Filed under: Lestrimelitta limao
Lineage: Eukaryota; Metazoa; Arthropoda; Insecta; Hymenoptera; Apidae
Description: partial 16S large subunit ribosomal RNA
Source: RNAcentral